This 382-nucleotide long non-coding RNA is filed under the name Heterocephalus glaber (naked mole-rat). RNAcentral describes it as "lncRNA (ENSHGLG00100033310.1)". The record is from RNAcentral. Lineage: Eukaryota; Metazoa; Chordata; Mammalia; Rodentia; Bathyergidae.
UUACAUUUGUUUCUCCCGAUGUACUGAAUAAAAGGUGUGGUAAGCUGGGGGCUUUGUCUUUGCUGCCCAGAGCAGCACUGAUCAGACCCAAAGCUCAGCUUCUUCUCAGUCUCAUUUUUCUACCUUUCCUGUAAUUCGCCGUGUGCUGCCAUGGCUCGCAGGAGACCAGGACUCACUGCAGAGGUUCUGGUAACGUCCCCUUCCCCUGUCCCCUACAGAGAAAAUCACCAGGGCCCGAGAGUGAUUCUUACAAUCACAGCGACUGCUGAUCAAACUCGUAUUCCUGUCUACGAUUCUGCUGCUCAUGUUUCCUACCCCAUGAGGGCCAGAGUCCGGUGACUGUAGACCCUGCCGCUGCCCGCCAGGCCCUCCCCUCCUGUCC